CGAACGGGUGAGUAACACGUGGGUGAUCUGCCCUGCACUUUGGGAUAAGCCUGGGAAACUGGGUCUAAUACCGAAUAUGAUCACGCUUCUCAUGGGGUGUGGUGGAAAGCUUUUGCGGUGUGGGAUGGGCCCGCGGCCUAUCAGCUUGUUGGUGGGGUAAUGGCCUACCAAGGCGACGACGGGUAGCCGGCCUGAGAGGGUGUCCGGCCACACUGGGACUGAGAUACGGCCCAGACUCCUACGGGAGGCAGCAGUGGGGAAUAUUGCACAAUGGGCGCAAGCCUGAUGCAGCGACGCCGCGUGAGGGACGACGGCCUUCGGGUUGUAAACCUCUUUCAGCACAGACGAAGCGCAAGUGACGGUAUGUGCAGAAGAAGCACCGGCCAACUACGUGCCAGCAGCCGCGGUAAUACGUAGGGUGCGAGCGUUGUCCGGAAUUACUGGGCGUAAAGAGCUCGUAGGUGGUUUGUCGCGUUGUUCGUGAAAACUCACAACUCAAUUGUGGGCGUGCGGGCGAUACGGGCAGACUGGAGUACUGCAGGGGAGACUGGAAUUCCUGGUGUAGCGGUGGAAUGCGCAGAUAUCAGGAGGAACACCGGUGGCGAAGGCGGGUCUCUGGGCAGUAACUGACGCUGAGGAGC
RNAcentral lists this ribosomal RNA (641 nucleotides) under Mycobacterium sp. I14A-00833. RNAcentral's name for it is "bacterial SSU rRNA". It matches the Rfam family "Bacterial small subunit ribosomal RNA", at positions 99 to 754 of the family's 1533-position model. The record is from RNAcentral. Lineage: Bacteria; Bacillati; Actinomycetota; Actinomycetes; Mycobacteriales; Mycobacteriaceae.